CGUAGUCGAUGGGAAACAGGUUAAUAUUCCUGUACUUGGUGUUACUGCGAAGGGGGGACGGAGAAGGCUAUGUUGGCCGGGCGACGGUUGUCCCGGUUUAAGCGUGUAGGCUGGUUUUCCAGGCAAAUCCGGAAAAUCAAGGCUGAGGCGUGAUGACGAGGCACUACGGUGCUGAAGCAACAAAUGCCCUGCUUCCAGGAAAAGCCUCUAAGCAUCAGGUAACAUCAAAUCGUACCCCAAACCGACACAGGUGGUCAGGUAGAGAAUACCAAGGCGCUUGAGAGAACUCGGGUGAAGGAACUAGGCAAAAUGGUGCCGUAACUUCGGGAGAAGGCACGCUGAUAUGUAGGUGAAGUCCCUCGCGGAUGGAGCUGAAAUCAGUCGAAGAUACCAGCUGGCUGCAACUGUUUAUUAAAAACACAGCACUGUGCAAACACGAAAGUGGACGUAUACGGUGUGACGCCUGCCCGGUGCCGGAAGGUUAAUUGAUGGGGUCAGCGCAAGCGAAGCUCUUGAUCGAAGCCCCGGUAAACGGCGGCCGUAACUAUAACGGUCCUAAGGUAGCGAAAUUCCUUGUCGGGUAAGUUCCGACCUGCACGAAUGGCGUAAUGAUGGCCAGGCUGUCUCCACCCGAGACUCAGUGAAAUUGAACUCGCUGUGAAGAUGCAGUGUACCCGCGGCAAGACGGAAAGACCCCGUGAACCUUUACUAUAGCUUGACACUGAACAUUGAGCCUUGAUGUGUAGGAUAGGUGGGAGGCUUUGAAGUGUGGACGCCAGUCUGCAUGGAGCCGACCUUGAAAUACCACCCUUUAAUGUUUGAUGUUCUAACGUGGACCCGUGAUCCGGGUUGCGGACAGUGUCUGGUGGGUAGUUUGACUGGGGCGGUCUCCUCCUAAAGAGUAACGGAGGAGCACGAAGGUUGGCUAAUCCUGGUCGGACAUCAGGAGGUUAGUGCAAUGGCAUAAGCCAGCUUGACUGCGAGCGUGACGGCGCGAGCAGGUGCGAAAGCAGGUCAUAGUGAUCCGGUGGUUCUGAAUGGAAGGGCCAUCGCUCAACGGAUAAAAGGUACUCCGGGGAUAACAGGCUGAUACCGCCCAAGAGUUCAUAUCGACGGCGGUGUUUGGCACCUCGAUGUCGGCUCAUCACAUCCUGGGGCUGAAGUAGGUCCCAAGGGUAUGGCUGUUCGCCAUUUAAAGUGGUACGCGAGCUGGGUUUAGAACGUCGUGAGACAGUUCGGUCCCUAUCUGCCGUGGGCGCUGGAGAACUGAGGGGGGCUGCUCCUAGUACGAGAGGACCGGAGUGGACGCAUCACUGGUGUUCGGGUUGUCAUGCCAAUGGCACUGCCCGGUAGCUAAAUGCGGAAGAGAUAAGUGCUGAAAGCAUCUAAGCACGAAACUUGCCCCGAGAUGA
Molecule: ribosomal RNA, 1412 nt
Filed under: Escherichia coli
Lineage: Bacteria; Pseudomonadati; Pseudomonadota; Gammaproteobacteria; Enterobacterales; Enterobacteriaceae
Description: partial 23S ribosomal RNA
Rfam family: Bacterial large subunit ribosomal RNA
Source: RNAcentral